Molecule: ribosomal RNA, 322 nt
Filed under: Salmonella enterica subsp. enterica serovar Manhattan
Lineage: Bacteria; Pseudomonadati; Pseudomonadota; Gammaproteobacteria; Enterobacterales; Enterobacteriaceae
Description: partial 23S ribosomal RNA
Rfam family: Bacterial large subunit ribosomal RNA
Source: RNAcentral
CAGACUUUGAUCCGGAGAUCUCUGAAUGGGGGAACCCACCUAGGAUAACCUAGGUAUCUUGUACUGAAUCCAUAGGUGCAAGAGGCGAACCAGGGGAACUGAAACAUCUAAGUACCCUGAGGAAAAGAAAUCAACCGAGAUUCCCUUAGUAGUGGCGAGCGAACGGGGAUUAGCCCUUAAGCUUCAUUGAUUUUAGCGGAACGCUCUGGAAAGUGCGGCCAUAGUGGGUGAUAGCCCCGUACGCGAAAGGAUCUUUGAAGUGAAAUCGAGUAGGACGGAGCACGAGAAACUUUGUCUGAACAUGGGGGGACCAUCCUCCAAG